GCUCCCGUAGCUCAAUGUCUAGAGCACCGCGCUUCGAACGCGGAGGCUGGAGGCGAAAGUCCUUCCGGGAGUGCCA
Molecule: transfer RNA, 76 nt
Filed under: Prosthecobacter vanneervenii
Lineage: Bacteria; Pseudomonadati; Verrucomicrobiota; Verrucomicrobiia; Verrucomicrobiales; Verrucomicrobiaceae
Description: tRNA-Arg
Rfam family: tRNA
About the family: Transfer RNA (tRNA) molecules are approximately 80 nucleotides in length. Their secondary structure includes four short double-helical elements and three loops (D, anti-codon, and T loops).
Source: RNAcentral